ACACAUUGUCUCUUUUUUUCCCAACCUACAAAUGAUCGAGGUAGGAAAUGGCGUCGUCCAACCACACCGGCGUGAUCUCGCGCAUGGCGCAGGGUUUGUCUUGGCCGGCCUGGCGCACAAGGGCCUCUGACAAGAGACGCUCGACUUCGGUCGCGACGACGACGCAGGGCGAGGCGGGGUCAUCUCUGUCAUUGUCACUUCUGCAUGUCCGCCCUGCCAAAUCCUGUGCAACCUCGUCGCCAUCCAUGUGGGAACGCACAUAGACGGGCGGCAUGUCCAUCACGUCCGUCCAACGCAUAAAGCGUGUCUGGUGGUCGCCACUUCCGUGGCAAAGGCAAGAGUCGGCGGAACCGGCGCUGGAGCGCCAACGGAUCUCGUUGGUCGAUUCCAUGGCCUCGACAAGGUCGACACUGCCGGCAUGUUUGGCAGACGCCCGACCCAGACUGUGGUAGCCGGCCGCGGCAACUGUGCCCUUGGGCGGCUCCCAGCGCGCUGCCAAACACGCCACGGGCAUGGCCACGCGGACGUGGUCGCGCUCCAACCACGCACGGCCCGUGGGCACGACGACCUCGAUGCUUGGACCGAAAAAGGCGGCGGCCUCUCGUGGUGCCGACACGCCCUUGCGAGCAGCCUCGUCGCGGUGCUCAAAGACUGCCCUGUCAAUGGGCACCACAAGCAGUACCCUGCCCGCCGUGAGUGCUGCAUAGUCGCGCGACCGCAAUACCAACCCUCGCCUGUGGGCCAAGGCCAACCAGUCGCGCCAUUCGAGUGCAGUGUCUUUUUGAUCCUGAUCGUCAAUUGUAUUAUUGACAACUAGAACAGGGACCUCCAUCGCGCUCGCCGGCCUGUCCGCCCUUGCCCCACUGACCGACCAGUACCAGUUUCCACUCUCUGACUCUAAAGUGCCCG
This 909-nucleotide long non-coding RNA is filed under the name Pandoravirus celtis. RNAcentral describes it as "hypothetical ncRNA". The record is from RNAcentral.